UCACCCCUCAAGCCCCGCGCUUGGUGUUGGACGGCCUGGUCGAGGUCCCCUCGACCCCUCCCAAAGACAAUGACGGCGGCCUGUGGUUCCCCCGGCACACUGAGCUUCUCACCGAGCACGUGUCGGAUUGGAGGGUACCCGGGCCACGGUCCUCUUCCUAGCAUUAGGAAAACUUCACGCAA
This 182-nucleotide unclassified non-coding RNA is filed under the name uncultured Herpotrichiellaceae. Its description in RNAcentral is "sequence contains ITS2". Lineage: Eukaryota; Fungi; Ascomycota; Eurotiomycetes; Chaetothyriales; Herpotrichiellaceae. The record is from RNAcentral.